CCAGACUCCUACGGGAGGCAGCAGUGGGGAAUAUUGCACAAUGGGGGAAACCCUGAUGCAGCGACGCCGCGUGAGUGAAGAAGUAUCUCGGUACGUAAAGCUCUAUCAGCAGGGAAGAAAAUGACGGUACCUGACUAAGAAGCCCCGGCUAACUCCGUGCCAGCAGCCGCGGUAAUACGGAGGAUGCGAGCGUUAUCCGGAUUUAUUGGGUUUAAAGGGUGCGCAGGCGGGAGAUCAAGUCAGCGGUAAAAUGUCGGGGCUCAACCCCGGCCGGCCGUUGAAACUGGUUUUCUAGAGUUGGAGAGAAGUAUGCGGAAUUCGUGGUGUAGCGGUGAAAUGCAUAGAUAUCACGAAGAACCCCGAUUGCGAAGGCAGCUUACUAAACUGUGACUGACAUUGAUGCUCGAAAGUGUGGGUAUCAAACAGGAUUAGAUACCCCUGUAA
Molecule: ribosomal RNA, 444 nt
Filed under: uncultured bacterium
Lineage: Bacteria
Description: bacterial SSU rRNA
Rfam family: Bacterial small subunit ribosomal RNA
Source: RNAcentral